UCUUGAGGUUCUUGUAUCCUCAGCACAUACAGGGUCUAGAGAGAUCUGCUGUGGUGAUCUUUGCUUAUUUUGUUGACAAGAUGGCAUCUGACAAACUUCUGGCUGUAAGUGAAUGUUGACAUUUCUAGCGGACUUAGCUCUAGGGUCCAGAAUAUUGGCAUCACAAACUUUGGCAAAUUCAGUAGUACCUCAGGUUAAGUACUUAAUUCGUUCCGGAGGUCCGUUCUUAACCUGAAACUGUUCUUAACCUGAAGCACUUUAGCUAAUGGGGCCUCCCGCUGCCGCCGCGCCGCCGGAGCACAAUUUCUGUUUUCAUCCUGAAGCAGAGGUCUUAACCUGAGGUACUAUUUCUGGGUUAUCGGAGUCUGUAACCUGAAGUGUACGUAACCCAAGGUACCACUGUAGCUAUCAAAGGUCAAAGAAAGGCAAGUUUUUGGCAGAGAAUAAUGAAGGCUCUAAAGGAAAUGUUAGUAUUAUAUAUAUAUAGUUAGGGGUGCCAAAUUGAAUGAAAUAUGGGGGGGCACAUACUUGAUCACAUGACACAGUGUGUGUGCGCGCGCGCACACACACACACCAUUUGAAUGGGAAUGCUCAUCAACUUUGGGGGGAGUCUGGCCCCCUCUAAUCUAGUUUAACAUGGAAAGGAAGAGACAGAAAAAUUAAAAUAUAUAUUCAGCCAGUGCUUUUUUCUGGGGGGACGCAGGGGGACGCAUACCCCUAAACAUUUUGUGAAUCUAAGUUUGGCCUCAUUGAGGGCCAGUAUUUCAAUAUGAGUAGGAAAAUGAGGGUACGCCUAAACAUGUUUUUAGGGGGGAAAGCACUGUUUUCAGCCACUGACUUGAGGUGGUGGUGAUGAUGACAUUUAGUGAACCAGAGCACUCCCUAUAUGCUGGCUUCUUGUCCUAACAGUAACUUCUCUGGGUCUCUCCUCAGCCCUCCCUGGAGCUUCCAACAUCCAUGCUGGGUCUGCUGGUGGCAGUUUCAUGCCUUUGUGCCUUGGGUCCUGACAUGGAAUGCCACCAGCAGGCUGCACAAACCCUCUGAAAUCUCCUGCCCAUCCUGCCUGGGAAAGAAUGUAAGCCUGGAAGGAAUGCAUUGCCUGCAAGACCGUAAACCCAAGGAUUACAGAAGCACAGAAUAAUUGUUAUUGUUUUUUUAUUUUGAUUUAAAAACAACACCACCCACCUUGGUGGAGGGGAGUGAUUUAAAAGUAGCCUAAAGAGGACUGAGUGCAGCCAUGGAAGCUUGAAUGCUUGGCAGAGGGGGCGGGAUAGGAAUGGAGUGGUUGAAAUCCCAAAGGGCAGCACUCCAGAGUGCAACGUUUCGUUGCAUGACCCAGCUGUAAAUACAUUCUGUUUAAAGUGACUACUUCCCCUGCCCUCAUGUUUACACCACCUUUGGGAUCUCAGGGCUCGUCCACACGUCCGCUUGUCCCGUGCCUAGAAAACACAGGUGCGGGCGGGUCAUACGGAGCUGUGGACGAGCCCUUGUGAGCUCUGCCCGAAGAAGGACGGGACAACACAGAUUGUUAGAACUUCAAAGCCUUUAAAGGGCCAACAACUCUCUGGCCCCAAGACAGGCACUCUUCCUCCAUUUCAUAGGCUCCACUGCCUGGUGCAUUUCCUGCACCACCCGUCUGGUAAUAUGCCACAGGGGGUGGGCAUCAAUUUACCAUCACACGCACAGAUUUUAGGAAUGUUGUGUUGCGUGUCAUUUUCAAGGUGGCUUUUAAUUUGAUUUGAGGGAGGGCUAGGGGGCACUACUGUCCCGGAUGGUGGUUUGGACAUCGCAGCUGCUCUCUGCCUCCAGGUCAGCCUUGACCCAGGGAAGGGGGAGCCUCGGCUGGGCGCCCCACAGCUGCUCUCCUUCCUGACCCAGGGAAGGAGGAGUUGAGGCUGGGAAUGCAGGACACACAUGGCAGGACACACACAGAUCUUCACCCUCUGUAGCCAUCAGCCCCCACGUCUGGCAGGGCGUGAGGAGAAUGGGGGGGGGAGGCUAUCUGGUUCACGCCCCCCCAUGUUCUGCGCCCAGAGCCAUGUCCCCCAUGCCCCUCCCAUGCUACACCACAUCUCAUGCUGUGAGUUCUGAACAAAGAAAUCUGGUGGGCUACUUGGAUUUUACAUUGCUGAAAUUAGUCCCUUUUGCCUCAGUACAGAUCACCUGCAGUAGCUGCAAACCAGCAAGGUCAACAUCAGAGGAUCUGGAACUACAACCAUCCUCUGCGGAGGACAGCAACUCCGGAAACAGAAGAUUCCAUGAGCGGCUGUCAUCUGCGAAAGAGACCCACUGAUUAUGCUAAGUAGACACCUCUGCCCUCGAACCAAAACAUUGUGGUGACUUCGAUACCUUGAUAUACAACUGUUAACACCUCCAGUCUUUGUUUAUCUCCCAUCAAUUGCCCACUUUUGCCAGUGGCACACACACAUGAGCAUGUCCGCCCCCGUUCUGCUGGAUCCGCAUGUCAGCAAUUGCACAUCAGUUGGACGCUCCUAAAAUGGUUGGUGCUAUUUUCCAGAACACUGAUUGUAUGUGUGUAUGUAUGCUCUUGUUGACCAUUUUUUAUUAUUAUUUCAUUUAUUAUUAUUAUUUUUGCCAAAUCCUUUUUAUUGAUUUUCAAUUUUUUACAAACCGGCCACCAACUGAAACAAAUUUAACAUUUUCCCAAAGAAAAAUCAGUUUAACAUUUUUCCAAAUCUGACUUCCUGCACACCCUCCUGGAUAUGUCAAUAGUUCUUAGUGCUGCAUCAUAUUCCCCAAUUAUUUCUAGUUUGCCUUCAAACAUUACAAAUAACCUUCCAGUACAUUAUAUUUGCUUUUUUUUAAAAAACAACAACUCCAUUUCAAACAGCUAUCCAUCAAUCAAUUCCUGCACAUAUAUUAAAUUAACAUUUCCAAUUUCAGGGAGUGAGGUUACUUAACAGAUUAUCAGUCCCUGCUGAAUUAUUGACUAAUAUUAUAUAACAUUGAAUAAAACUUCCUCUCCUUUCAUCUGCGUGUGUAGAAACACAAUCUUCUUGCUGCUCAACUCCUUUGUCCCUCGUCGCAUGUAAACGGGGGUCUUUUUCUUUUCUUUUUUACAGCAGAAACUCCAAGGUCGACCAUCUCGCUUGGUGCAUUUUCCAACCAGCCCAUAAUCAUCAUCGGCGGGGGUGGGGCGCGCCGGGCUAACCACUUUCUCCUUCACAGUUCAAGUUCUUAUUACAGCCUCUCCCCGUGAUUCGAGGUACUCGAGCAGAUUUGCCCCACCGUUAGACUUUCCAGUUCUCUGUGCAAAAAAAUCUGCUCCUUUCUGGCUGGUUUGCUUUUAAUUCCUCCAUCAUAAAUUGUCCAACGAUCCAACAGUCCAAAUUUUAAUUUGCUUCCUUAUAGUUCGUUAAUAGUUUUGUAUUCCUUUAAUCCCAUCAAUCUAAGACCUCCGGGUAUAGGGCGGUAUAUAAAAUUCAAUAAAUAAAUAAAUAGUAGUAGUAGUAGUAGUAGUAAGGAGGGGGUUGGGGUGGAUGAAGAUGGCGUCGAGGUAAGACGCUCUCACCAGAGCUGCACAGAUUCUUUUUUAAUUACAUGAAGGGGAUUGCUCGCGGCCGGGCUUUCUAUUUUUCUUUUUCUCGGAGGCAAGGUUUUUAUAUGUUUUAUGUGCUCCGGCACUUAAGGGCUUUUAAUAUUCAAAUCUAGUAAGGGAAUGGUGUUUCUCUCUUGACAUAACGGUGCAUGUAUAGCUCAGAGCAGUCUUCCCGUCCUCCAUUGUUGCAGCAGCAUCCACGUUAUUCUGAACCUCAUCGUCGCAGAUUUCCCGUCCCGUUUUGUUUAAAAACCCUCACUUAUAUAUUUCCAUAGUCAAGGGGGGCGAGGAGAGAGAUUCUGAACCCUUACUUUAUAAGCACAUGUUUAAAUCUUUGCAGUCAUAAACGUUAACGAAAAUAAUAACAAAAAUAGAUCUCCCCACCCUACCUUUUCCAAUAAAGGUUCCCCUUUAUCACGUAGCUGCACAACAAGACAAUGACCACGUCAGUGUGGUUAACUUGACCCAACCUUACCCCCCCAAACAUACAAACAAGCCACACACUGCAAUCAACCGAAUUUAAUCAACCAAAUCCUUGUAAUCAUAAAUGUUAACAAAAAUAAUAGCAAAAAAAGCAACAACAGCCCCUAUCUGCCCCCCUCCAUCUUUUCCAAUCUUAUCCAUGCAGGAACUGCCAUUCAAGCCUCUUGC
Podarcis lilfordi (Lilford's wall lizard) is the source of this 4210-nucleotide non-coding RNA. Lineage: Eukaryota; Metazoa; Chordata; Lepidosauria; Squamata; Lacertidae. The record is from the annotation of a GenBank genome assembly.